GAUGAACGCUGGCGGCGUGCCUAAUACAUGCAAGUCGAGCGAACUUUUGGGAGCUUGCUCCCAACAGUUAGCGGCGGACGGGUGAGUAACACGUGGGUAACCUGCCUGUAAGACUGGGAUAACUUCGGGACACCGGAGCUAAUCCCGGAUAACAUUUAAGACCACAUGGCCUUCAUUUAAAAGGUGGCUUUUAGCUACCACUUACAGCUGGACCCGCGGCGCAUUAGCUAGUUGUUGAGGUAACGGCUCACCAAGGCGACGCUGCGUAGCCGACCUGAGAGGGUGAGCGGCCACACUGGGACUGAGACACGGCCCAGACUCCUAGGGGAGGCAGCAGGAGGGAAUCGUCCGUAAUGGACGAAGGUCUGACGGAGCAACGCCGCGGGAGCGAAGAAGGCCGUCGGGUCGUAAAGCUCUGUAGUUAGGGAAGAACAAGAAUCGUUCGAAUACGGCGGGACCUUGACGGUACCUAACCAGAAAGCCACGGCUAACUACGUG
RNAcentral lists this ribosomal RNA (498 nucleotides) under uncultured bacterium. RNAcentral's name for it is "partial 16S ribosomal RNA". It matches the Rfam family "Bacterial small subunit ribosomal RNA", at positions 28 to 507 of the family's 1533-position model. The record is from RNAcentral.